RNAcentral lists this ribosomal RNA (253 nucleotides) under uncultured bacterium. RNAcentral's name for it is "partial 16S ribosomal RNA". It matches the Rfam family "Bacterial small subunit ribosomal RNA", at positions 524 to 776 of the family's 1533-position model. The record is from RNAcentral.
UACAGAGGUCCCAAGCGUUGUUCGGAUUCAUUGGGCGUAAAGGGUGUGUAGGUGGCGCCGUAAGUCGGGUGUGAAAUUUCGGAGCUUAACUCCGAACCUGCAUUCGAUACUGCGGUGCUUGAGGACUGGAGAGGAGACUGGAAUUCUCGGUGUAGCAGUGAAAUGCGUAGAUAUCGAGAGGAACACCAGUGGUGAAGGCGAGUCCCUGGACAACACCUGACACUGAGGCACGAAAGCUAGGGGAGCAAACAGG